GUGCUCGCUUUGGCAGCACAUAUAUUAAAAAUUGGAAAGAUACAGAGAAGAUUAGCAUGGCCCCUGCACAAGGAUGACACGCAAAUUUGUGAAGCGUUCCAUAUUUUU
Small nuclear RNA from Tupaia belangeri (northern tree shrew), 108 nucleotides. The record is from Ensembl. NCBI's taxonomy places the organism in Eukaryota, Metazoa, Chordata, Mammalia, Scandentia, Tupaiidae.